Molecule: ribosomal RNA, 293 nt
Filed under: Salmonella enterica subsp. enterica serovar Kentucky
Lineage: Bacteria; Pseudomonadati; Pseudomonadota; Gammaproteobacteria; Enterobacterales; Enterobacteriaceae
Description: partial 16S ribosomal RNA
Rfam family: Bacterial small subunit ribosomal RNA
Source: RNAcentral
UUAAAUUGAAGAGUUUGAUCAUGGCUCAGAUUGAACGCUGGCGGCAGGCCUAACACAUGCAAGUCGAACGGUAACAGGAAGCAGCUUGCUGCUUCGCUGACGAGUGGCGGACGGGUGAGUAAUGUCUGGGAAACUGCCUGAUGGAGGGGGAUAACUACUGGAAACGGUGGCUAAUACCGCAUAACGUCGCAAGACCAAAGAGGGGGACCUUCGGGCCUCUUGCCAUCAGAUGUGCCCAGAUGGGAUUAGCUGGUUGGUGAGGUAACGGCUCACCAAGGCGACGAUCCCUAGCU